GCCGGGGUGGCGGAAUAGGCAGACGCAGCGGACUUAAAAUCCGCCGGAAUAAAAUCCUUGUGGGUUCGAGUCCCACUCCCGGCACCA
RNAcentral lists this transfer RNA (87 nucleotides) under subsurface metagenome. RNAcentral describes it as "tRNA-Leu". It matches the Rfam family "tRNA". Rfam says of the family: Transfer RNA (tRNA) molecules are approximately 80 nucleotides in length. The record is from RNAcentral.